Molecule: non-coding RNA, 94 nt
Filed under: uncultured Alloprevotella sp.
Lineage: Bacteria; Pseudomonadati; Bacteroidota; Bacteroidia; Bacteroidales; Prevotellaceae
Description: TPP riboswitch (THI element)
Rfam family: TPP riboswitch aptamer (THI element)
About the family: Vitamin B(1) in its active form thiamin pyrophosphate (TPP) is an essential coenzyme that is synthesised by coupling of pyrimidine and thiazole moieties in bacteria. The previously detected thiamin-regulatory element, thi box was extended, resulting in a new, highly conserved RNA secondary structure, the THI element, which is widely distributed in eubacteria and also occurs in some archaea.
Source: RNAcentral
UCCAAGGGGGGUGCCCAUCUCCAUCUUUUUUGGAGUAGGCUGAGAUUAUACCCAUUGAACCUGAUGCAGAUAAUGCUGCCGAAGGGAAUUGGAA